This 490-nucleotide ribosomal RNA is filed under the name uncultured bacterium. Its description in RNAcentral is "partial 16S ribosomal RNA". It matches the Rfam family "Bacterial small subunit ribosomal RNA", at positions 30 to 507 of the family's 1533-position model. The record is from RNAcentral.
AUUGAACGCUGGCGGCAGGCCUAACACAUGCAAGUCGAACGGUAACAGGAAGAAGCUUGCUUCCUUGCUGACGAGUGGCGGACGGGUGAGUAAUGUCUGGGAAACUGCCUGAUGGAGGGGGAUAACUACUGGAAACGGUAGCUAAUACCGCAUAACGUCGCAAGACCAAAGAGGGGGACCUUCGGGCCUCUUGCCAUCGGAUGUGCCCAGAUGGGAUUAGCUAGUAGGUGGGGUAACGGCUCACCUAGGCGACGAUCCCUAGCUGGUCUGAGAGGAUGACCAGCCACACUGGAACUGAGACACGGUCCAGACUCCUACGGGAGGCAGCAGUGGGGAAUAUUGCACAAUGGGCGCAAGCCUGAUGCAGCCAUGCCGCGUGUAUGAAGAAGGCCUUCGGGUUGUAAAGUACUUUCAGCGGGGAGGAAGGGAGUAAAGUUAAUACCUUUACUCAUUGACGUUACCCGCAGAAGAAGCACCGGCUAACUCCGUG